This is a long non-coding RNA of Dermacentor silvarum, 1029 nucleotides long. RefSeq lists it as uncharacterized. NCBI's taxonomy places the organism in Eukaryota, Metazoa, Arthropoda, Arachnida, Ixodida, Ixodidae. The transcript is spliced from 3 exons. The record is from RefSeq and is a predicted model, not a curated record.
CUUGUCGAAGAGGAAGCGUUAUCCUCUUUCAGAGUUAAAUAAUUUGUCGAGCAAUAAUUUUACAGUUCCAGCAACUACAGCAUAAACUGGAAAACGAAACCGAAUCUGAUUUGUUCUCCGUGCUCACAGAGCGCGGCACCAGGUGGCACCGUGCGCUGCGCCUCCGGUCUCGAAGGAUCUAACAAGCGGUUGAUGCAGCUGCGAAUGUGUAGUCAGUCGGCUUUUAUCGUUUUAUGUUGUGCAGAUUGUUAGUUCACCGUAAAUAUGUCUUGAUUUGUACUCAAGAGUGAAGCAAGGCCCCAAGGAACAGAGAUUGACGCAACGGGAGCGAAGAACAGAAGCGAUGGAUGGUUACGCUGGUUGAAUCUCGGCAUGUUCAAAAUGGCGAAGUUCCGAAUUUGUCGCUGCGUGACGUGCGCGUGUGUGCUCGUGAUGUGCCGUCAUAGCGCGGGGAUAUUUGUGCUGAAUGUGUUUCACUUCGUCUACAAAACUCUGCACGCAAUGGCAUCGAAGAAGUCGUGUGUUCAGGUGCACGUAUGUGCAUGCUUGGAUACGGAAAGCCUGCCCUCAACGGUAGCGCUGAGCUCAGCCGUGUUGGCUCAGCGCUACCCCCUCAACGGAUGUUCAACAGUCUACGUGCUCGUAACCAACACGAGACCUCCUUGCUGUUGCAACUCUGAGGACAAUUGCUUCAAAUGGGAAGGAACAACCAGCACUGCCAGCGCUAUUUGUACAUGAGGACACCUCCUUGCUGUGGCAACUCUAAGGACAAUUGCUUCAAAUGGGAAGGAACAACCAGCAGUGCCAGCGCUAUUUGUACAUGAGGACGUAAGUUCCUUCACAUUAUUGUUAAUGAAAUCAGAUCUAAACAAUGCUGUAAUUCCUCAAAUGGCUUCAAUCGUAGAAACAGUUUGGCAACUGUAUAAAGAUCCAGAUGGUUUUUUUUUUAAUGUGAACUGACAUGCUACCUAAUUUCACCAGCUAUUUAUUCAUUUUUAUUUAUUCAUGCUACCGGUAAAGGCCCUCAAA